GCGCCGCAGGAUGGGUCUGCGGCCGAUUAGGUAGUUGUUGGGGUAACGGCCCAACAAGCCUGUAAUCGGUACGGGUUGUGGGAGCAAGAGCCCGGAGAUGGAUUCUGAGACAUGAAUCCAGGCCCUACGGGGCGCAGCAGGCGCGAAAACUUUACAAUGCGGGAAACCGUGAUAAGGGAACCCCGAGUGCCCGUAGAAUCGGGCUGUUGAUCUGUGUAAAAAGCAGGUAAAGAAAGGGCCGGGCAAGACCGGUGCCAGCCGCCGCGGUAAUACCGGCGGCUCGAGUGGUGGCCACUAUUACUGGGCUUAAAGCGUUCGUAGCUGGGUUGUUAAGUCUCUUGGGAAAUCCACCGGCUCAACCGAUGGGCGACCAGGGGAAACUGGCAUUCUAGGGACCGGGAGAGGUGAGAGGUACUCCAGGGGUAGGAGUGAAAUCCUGUAAUCCUUGGGGGACCACCGAUGGCGAAGGCAUCUCACCAGAACGGCUCCGACAGUGAGGAACGAAAGCUGGGGGAGCAAACCGGAUUAGAUACCCGGGUAGUCCCAGCUGUAAACGAUGCGCGUUAGGUGUAUCGGUGACCACGAGUUACCGAGGUGCCGAAGGGAAACCGGAAACGCG
RNAcentral lists this ribosomal RNA (619 nucleotides) under uncultured archaeon. RNAcentral describes it as "bacterial SSU rRNA". It matches the Rfam family "Archaeal small subunit ribosomal RNA", at positions 199 to 823 of the family's 1478-position model. The record is from RNAcentral.